This is an RNA transcript of Episyrphus balteatus (marmalade hoverfly), 2920 nucleotides long. It is a transcript of the gene named ras-related protein Ral-a, with no coding region annotated. The transcript is spliced from 11 exons. The record is from RefSeq and is a predicted model, not a curated record. Lineage: Eukaryota; Metazoa; Arthropoda; Insecta; Diptera; Syrphidae.
GAAUAUUUUUCAACCAAAAUGCUUGGAUAUGUGUCUAGGAGCAACAAAAAACGUUCCGACUUUUGAAGAGAACACAGUUUUAUAUUAAAGCGGCACGUUGGGUAACUAACUCAGCAUUGAUUUCAUGGAUUUUUUCGAUAAAAACAGGAGAAAAUUGUGGGCAACCGGAGACAAAGUUAACUUUCAUACAACAUUUUAUAAAGUAAAAAAAAUAAGCGGAAAGAAAACAAAGUUGAUCUCUAGGAAAUUUGGAAUUAUAUCUUGGAAACCAAAGUCGAUAAAUAUCCUGCCGUCGAAUGCAAAUGUGACGCUCGCUGAACGACCAAUAUAAGAGUUACAACAUUUUGUUUGGCGUUUCAAUUUUGCCUAAGUUUAAGAAUAAUUCUACCGAUGACACGGUCAGCAUAAAUUUAUAAAUCAAAAUUUAUAAAACAAAAAAUAAUUUUUUUAAUUCCCGAAUAGCAGAUUAAUUUGUUUAGAAUUAAGUUAAUUAAGUUAAAACGUCGAAAAUGGAGAGUAAGAAGCGCCUUUCCGUGAAUUUUAUUCGUCUAGUCUUUUAACCAAGAAAAAAACCUGGAAAAUAUUGCCAGACAGUUACAUAUAUCCCAGAAAAUUUAAAAUUAAAGUCAUCAAUCAAUGCCUUAUGCUUAAAUUGUGCUGAAAUUGGUGAAAUGCUUCUAUAUCAAACAUUGUCAACGCCAAAGAUUUGUAGUUGCCGAUAAGAAAAGUUCCGAUAGAAAUAAAAAAGGCAUACAUGAAAAAAAUAUCGAUUCAGAAGGAGAAAUUAUUGAUCCCCUUUGGUAGCGUCAGGAAGUGGUGCAAAUGUAAGUCGAAUUUUCCGAUGUUCAUGAAGGCGAAAAAAAACCUAAUGAAACUAUUGAACCUGCACAUUUUUGGAUGCGAAUAGGCGAGAAAUCAUUGAUUAAAACCUAACAUAUGUGUUCAUAUUUUGAUUAUAGCCUAUUAUCAUCCAAGAUUUUAUAUAAGAUCAUUAAAAAACUUCAAUAACAAAAGUAAGUAUCCAGAAAUUAAAAAAAUAAAAAACUAAGGCAUGCCGAGUUACAUUUUUAAUUAAAAAGAAGAACAAAAACUUAAAUCUCCUCAGAAGCAGAGCAUUAGUAAACAUUUUACAGAUGGUCUAUUUACUGCUUCAUUAAUAAGUCAAUCAAAAACGUUGAAAUAUAAAUCAAGCAUCGGUAAACAGAAGCACAGUUGCAGGAAAAGACGAAAAACUCACCUAGUUAUGUUGAAUCAUCAAAGCACAAUAACAAGACUUCAGUGUCUAAAUAAAUUAUUUAUCAAGAAAAAUCUGAAUAAUAAAAGAAAAAAUGUCCUAUAUAGAACAAAAUAGAAUUCAGUUACCAGAUGCCAAAAUUCAGGACUACCAGCUUUGAAUAAAAAGUGUUUUUCGAAAAAAAAAAAAAUUGGAAUCUUUUCUGAAUGUAACAUCUGUCAAAAUGGAAUAACAAUAGCGUAUAAUUCUACUUCAUUACAAUUAUUAUUAGCAAAAUGAAACUGUACUGAUACCACAAGAAAAAAAAAUUUACUAUGAAAAUCUACACUGAGAUAUUUUUCGUCAACAAAAGUAAAACAUCCUUAAAUGUCAAGUUUUAUAGUCUGAACACGCAGAAUACCUCAAUACAUUUCUGUCCUUUAUAAACGUCAAAACAUGUUUGAAGUAUCACCAAAUUGACAUUUCUUUUAAAAAUAAAAUAGAGCUAUCCACAUUGAACAACAAAUUUAAAUCAAUUUGUUUGGAUUUUAAAAAUAAAAAUAUCUACAAAUUAUGCUCAAAAUGUUCCGGAAGCCCAUUAAAACCUACAUCAUCAGAACAUACAGUUCAAUGAAUACGAAAUCCAAAGAUUUGCAGCAAAGACAAUAUUGCCUAGACUUGGAAAAACGACUUCGAAAACUAUCUUUGCACAUUGUUAUUGAAUGAAGAAGUCAGGCGACAUGCAUUUGCAAUUCGGGCAUUUAAUGUUGAAGUUGCCAAAGCUUGUUCAUCGGUAUCUGAAGAGCAUAUAGCCAAAAUGAAACUAAAAUUCUGGUUUGAUUCAAUUGAUAAAUGUUUGGAUAAAAAUGAGAAAUCUUAUGUGACAGACCAUCCUGUUCUCUACGAAAUGAAGUAUAUAUCCGAUAAUAACAAAAUAACAAAAGCCUUCCUCAAACGCUUAGUUACGGCUCGAGACCGCCCUCCAAAUCAACAGUUUAUUACCUGUAAAGACAUGGAGGAUUAUGCAGAUCAAACUGUGUCACCUAUAUACUUUCUAUUACUCGAAAUAUGCGGAGUUAAAAACUUAAAUGUAGACCACGCUGCAUCUCAUUUAGGAAAAGCUCAAGGCAUUACGAAUCUCUUGCGUGCAAUACCAUAUACCCGAAGAAGUGAAGCAUUAAACAUUCCCCAAGAAGUACUCAUUCGAAAUGGGGUUAGUCAGGAGCGUGUAUUAAGGGCAAAAGCAGAUGAUAAAGGUGUUGAAGACUGUAUAUUUGAAGUUGCAACUAUGGCUCAUCAGCAUAUAGAAAAGGCACGAAGUCUUAAAGAACACAUACCUAGAUCUGUAAGAUCUUUGUUCUUGCCAUCAAUUUCAGUAGAUCGUUACUUGGAAAGGCUAAGGAAAGCACAUUUUCUAUUAACUGACCAAAGCGUGUUGCAGCGAGAUUCAAUGCUUCCAGCGGCCCUAUAUUGGAAUAGUUUUAGACUGAAUUAUUAAAAAUAAAAAAAAGACACACUGAAAUUUCAAAAACUUCAACAAUGAACAUUAAAGUAAGCAAGGAAUAAAACUUCGUAGGUACCUACUCGGUGGCAGUCCAUCACUCUAACCACUCGGCCAUUAUAGUACACAUUAUUUACAUAUAUUCAUUAAUGAAAUCAAAAAAUUCAGCUCAAAUAGCAGAAAUGUAAAAAAAAAAAUUGUUCAAU